RNAcentral lists this long non-coding RNA (956 nucleotides) under Nicotiana benthamiana. Its description in RNAcentral is "long non-coding RNA (NBEN_LNC021026)". Lineage: Eukaryota; Viridiplantae; Streptophyta; Magnoliopsida; Solanales; Solanaceae. The record is from RNAcentral.
AAAUAUAGUACCAAAAGUCAACCGAAACAAUACUCUAAUCCUAAGCAUCAGCCAUUUUCCAAUUAAAGAUGCCUUAGUAGGAUACAAAGGACAAACGAAUGUGAAAAAUUAAAACCUAAAAUUAACAAUAGUGUGCCAAGAUCCAGCUGAUAAUAUUCUACGCCACAACGAAUCCCAUAAAAGUUAGUACCAAUUUCGAUCCUCUAGUUCAUAAGAAAAAGGGAAAAGCUAUAAGCACAAAUGGCUGAACACUCUCUUUUAAUAACUACUAUCUGUUUUAUACCUUGACACCAACAAAUGAAUAUAACAGUUCUAUCUCAAUUUUUGCAUCCAACGGGUUGGUGAAUUAGCUCAAACGAACAAAAAAAACAAUUUCAAUUAAGAGUAGAGAUUCCUCCUCAAAAUAUCAUAAGCAACAAGAAUUCACAUAAAUCUUAACAUUGAACCAUGAUAUAAGAAAUACAUAGACAUGAAACAGAGGGCGAAUAUCAGGAACCUUCCAACCUCAACGAACUCAGAAUGACAUAUGACGAUCCCGAAAUAUUGUUCUACUUUUCUCGACUCCAAAUCACAAUCGAAACUCACCGGAAAAUUCAAACUAAACCAGAAGGAUCCAACGAACUCCCUAACAGUAGUUCAUGAUUCUGGAGUUGUUUCGGGCUAAUUCACAUUGCUUUGAUGGAGGUUUCGAUGUAAUUUUCACUGGAUUUUGUGAAGGAAUUUCUGCAACAACAUGAGCUUUAGUUAUAGCGGUUUCAUGGUGGUUUUGAUGCUAGAUUUAUGGAUGAUUCACGGCUAAUUUAGGGCUGGAUUCGUGGUGGAGAUAAGGCGCUUGAUGGGUGUGUUGAGAGGUGAGAACGACUCUGUGUGAUUGGGUGUAAAUCAGAGGCUAAUGGUUGUUGCAGGUUUGGGAAUGGAGAAGCAGAAGUUUCAAGGAGGGGGGAAGCGCUUUCGUG